RNAcentral lists this Y RNA (113 nucleotides) under Aotus nancymaae (Ma's night monkey). RNAcentral's name for it is "Y RNA (ENSANAG00000005623.1)". It matches the Rfam family "Y RNA". Rfam says of the family: Y RNAs are components of the Ro ribonucleoprotein particle (Ro RNP), in association with Ro60 and La proteins. The Y RNAs and Ro60 and La proteins are well conserved, but the function of the Ro RNP is not known. The record is from Rfam by way of RNAcentral. Lineage: Eukaryota; Metazoa; Chordata; Mammalia; Primates; Aotidae.
GGCUGGUCCAAAGGUAGUGAGUUAUCUCAAUUGACCGUUCACAGUCAGUUACAGAUCAAACUCUUUGUUCUACUCUUUCCCACCUUCUCACUACUGCACCUGACUAGUCUAAA